UGCUCGUGUUGCCACUGAGGCGCAUUUAAUAGGCGUAGUGAGUGGCUUUAUCUGCUUAGCGUAUCUUUAUGGCGUU
RNAcentral lists this transfer RNA (76 nucleotides) under Shewanella piezotolerans WP3. Its description in RNAcentral is "tRNA-Val". The record is from RNAcentral. Lineage: Bacteria; Pseudomonadati; Pseudomonadota; Gammaproteobacteria; Alteromonadales; Shewanellaceae.